This 513-nucleotide ribosomal RNA is filed under the name uncultured bacterium. RNAcentral's name for it is "partial 16S ribosomal RNA". It matches the Rfam family "Bacterial small subunit ribosomal RNA", at positions 28 to 523 of the family's 1533-position model. The record is from RNAcentral.
GACGAACGCUGGCGGCGUGCCUAAUACAUGCAAGUUGAGCGCUGAAGGUUGGUACUUGUACCGACUGGAUGAGCAGCGAACGGGUGAGUAACGCGUGGGGAAUCUGCCUUUGAGCGGGGGACAACAUUUGGAAACGAAUGCUAAUACCGCAUAACAACUUUAAACACAAGUCUUAAGUUUGAAAGAUGCAAUUGCAUCACUCAAAGAUGAUCCCGCGUUGUAUUAGCUAGCUGGUGAGGUAAAGGCUCACCAAGGCGAUGAUACAUAGCCGACCUGAGAGGGUGAUCGGCCACAUUGGGACUGAGAAACGGCCCAAACUCCUACGGGGGGCAGCAGUAGGGGAACUUCGGCAAUGGGCGAAAGUCUGACCGAGCAACGCCGCGUGAGUGAAGAAGGUUUUCGGAUCGUAAAACUCUGUUGGUAGAGAAGAACGUUGGUGAGAGUGGAAAGCUCAUCAAGUGACGGUAACUACCCAGAAAGGGACGGCUAACUACGUGCCAGCCGCCGCAGUAA